GAUGAAGAACGUAGCGAAAUGCGAUAACUAAUGUGAAUUGCAGAAUUCAGUGAAUCAUCGAGUCUUUGAACGCACAUUGCGCCCCCUGGUAUUCCGGGGGGCAUGCCUGUCCGAGCGUCAUUGCUGCCCUCAAGCACGGCUUGUGUGUUGGGCUCCGUCCCCCCGGGGACGGGCCCGAAAGGCAGCGGCGGCACCGAGUCUGGUCCUCGAGCGUAUGGGGCUUUGUCACCCGCUCUGUAGGCCCGGCCGGCGCCAGCCGACAACCCAUCAUCCUUUUCAGGUUGACCUCGGAUCAGGUAGGGAUACCCGCUGAACUUAAGCAUAUCAAUAAGCGGAGGA
RNAcentral lists this unclassified non-coding RNA (339 nucleotides) under soil metagenome. RNAcentral describes it as "partial contains 5.8S ribosomal RNA, internal transcribed spacer 2, and large subunit ribosomal RNA". The stretch from base 1 to 120 matches the Rfam family "5.8S ribosomal RNA", at positions 35 to 154 of the family's 154-position model. The record is from RNAcentral.